UACCACUGGAUGGCGAUAGUAGGUGAUGGUGUAGCUCCGAUGGUAG
Molecule: microRNA precursor, 46 nt
Filed under: Ciona intestinalis (vase tunicate)
Lineage: Eukaryota; Metazoa; Chordata; Ascidiacea; Phlebobranchia; Cionidae
Description: microRNA cin-mir-4175 precursor
Source: miRBase by way of RNAcentral